This 69-nucleotide transfer RNA is filed under the name Actinomycetes bacterium. RNAcentral's name for it is "tRNA-Leu". Lineage: Bacteria; Bacillati; Actinomycetota; Actinomycetes. The record is from RNAcentral.
GGUGAAACUGGCAGACACGCCGGCUUUAGGUGCCGGUGCUCGAAAGAGCGUGUGGGUUCGAGUCCCUCC